GACGAACGCUGGCGGCGUGCUUAACACAUGCAAGUCGAACGGAAAGGCCCUGCUUUUGUGGGGUGCUCGAGUGGCGAACGGGUGAGUAACACGUGAGUAACCUGCCCUUGACUUUGGGAUAACUUCAGGAAACUGGGGCUAAUACCGGAUAGGAGCUCCUGCUGCAUGGUGGGGGUUGGAAAGUUUCGGCGGUUGGGAAUGGACUCGCGGCUUAUCAGCUUGUUGGUGGGGUAGUGGCUUACCAAGGCUUUGACGGGUAGCCGGCCUGAGAGGGUGACCGGCCACAUUGGGGCUGAGAUACGGCCCAGACUCCUACGGGAGGCAGCAGUGGGGAAUAUUGCACAAUGGGCGGAAGCCUGAUGCAGCAACGCCGCGUGCGGGAUGACGGCCUUCGGGUUGUAAACCGCUUUCGCCUGUGACGAAGCGUGAGUGACGGUAAUGGGUAAAGAAGCACCGGCUAACUACGUG
Molecule: ribosomal RNA, 468 nt
Filed under: uncultured bacterium
Lineage: Bacteria
Description: partial 16S ribosomal RNA
Rfam family: Bacterial small subunit ribosomal RNA
Source: RNAcentral